Molecule: transfer RNA, 71 nt
Filed under: Loxodonta africana (African savanna elephant)
Lineage: Eukaryota; Metazoa; Chordata; Mammalia; Proboscidea; Elephantidae
Rfam family: tRNA
About the family: Transfer RNA (tRNA) molecules are approximately 80 nucleotides in length.
Source: Rfam by way of RNAcentral
GCAGGGGUAGUUGAGUGGUAGAAUUCCCACCUUGCAUGCAGGAGACCUGGGUUCGAUUCCCAGCCAGUGUA